AUCUCACUACCAAGCAGGCGAAACAGAAGGCUCAAACAAAAGGAUCUGGCCUGGGGAACCGUGGAGGAGGCUAAGGGUGGAAAGUGCCGUCUGGGGCAGGAGGGCUGCUUCUCCUGUGGGGCCUGGUGGAUCCCACCCAUGGCCACGGUUCUCACCCACGCUCUGACCUCCCCAGACCUGCCCUUCCCCUUCUUCCUCUGGAGAAGCCCGGAUUUGAUCAGCUGUUUGCCUCCUCCCGAGGCCCCGCUGGCUGCCAAGCCCUGCUGAAGAGCCGUGUGCGGCUCAGGCCAGUCUUGCAAAUUCCUCUGAAAGAAGUCUCGCUCUGUCGCCCAGGCUGGAGUGCAGUGGCGUGAUCUCCACUCACUUCAAGCUCCGCCUCCCGGGUUCACGCCAUUCUCCUGCCUCGGCCUCCCGAGUAGCUGAGACUACAGGCGCCCGCCACCACACCCGGCUAAUUUUUUUUUUUAGUAGAGACGGGGUUUCACUGUGCUAGCCAGGACGGUCUCGAUCUCCUCACCUCAUGAUCCGCCCGCCUCGGCCUCCCAGUCCCUAGUCCUUUUUAAAAAAUGUUUUAAUAAGAUGUUGAGUAGAUCUAAAUGAACACCAAUGCACCCACCGUGAAAGUGAAGGAACAGAACUUAAGAUGAUCUUUGAGGCCCCCUUGCACUUUGCCCUGAAACAUCCUUCUGCCAAUGUCCCAGAAGUAACCACAAAGCCACUUCCUCGUGUGGCCUCCAUGACACACGCUUCCUUGUUUUGCUCCUUCGCUGGCCUCUCCUUUCAUCUCUACUGUCCUAGCAAGACCCAAUCUCUACAAAACAUAUAAAAAUUAGCCAGGCAUGAUGGUGCACACCUGUAGUCCUGGCUACUUGGGAAGCUGAGGUGGGAGGAUCACUUGAGCCCAGGAGUUUGAGACUACAGUGAGUUAAGAUUGCAUCACUGUACUCCAGCCUGGGCAACAGAGUGAGCCCCUGUGAAGAGGAGGAAGGCGGGGAGUCGGGAGAAAAAGAAAAUCCUAAGGAUAAAAGGACUGGGUGUCCCAGGCAGCUAAGAUGGGCCCAGCCUGAGCCUUGACCUGGGUAAGGGACACUGCAUAUGCCCGACUAAACCUACUAAACCUGGUGCCAUGUUCCCUGGGAUCCCUGAGUGAGUGUUGUGGUCCCAGCCCAGAUCUGAGGCAGUGCUGUCUAUGUGGACACUGGCUAUACCUGCUGGGGACUAGAGAGGAAUGGCCGGGUUUGGGGGGCAGCACUAACCAGAUGGCCUGCAAGCUAUGGCAGGGUGGCUCUCAUUUGCUAGGACACAGGCCACUGGGGACCCAGCAUUUGUGUAAGAGAUGGGCCCUUCUAUAGAUGACACAUUUAUGUCGAGAGGCCGGAGAGGGCAGGAAGCUUCCCUCCUGACACCCCAGGUGUCUCCCCCAAGCCGCCAGGCCAAGGGCGCUUCUCCCCGCAGGUGUUCCCAGGGUUAUGGUCUACACAGCCACUGCUGAGAGGGUGCAGCCAGCAAGGAGUAAAUACGCUGGCCAGCAGGUGUGAGCCGGGGCGGUAGCCCCAAGGGAAGGCCCAUGGCUGGGCUGUGGGCAGCGUUCUUGGGGGCAGCCUUGUCCAGGGAUGCCAUGGGGUAGUCUGCCUGGGGAGGCUGAGCCAGGCAGGGCACAAAGACCAGGCGUUUCAGCCAGGUGGGGGCACCCCGGCCACCGACACUCCAGGCUUCUCCCUCACCAACCCCACCUCUUCCACCUUCCCUCCGAAAUACCUUGCACCCAAAUUCUAUGUCUGCCUCUGCUUCUGGAGAAUCCAACCCCCAUUGGAGAAGAGAGUCACUAAUUUGGGAUUUGGAACUGGGUCACUCACGGCCCACGGGCAAUGAGGACCCAUCACUGGUCAGGGGAGAUAGCUGGCGCCUGGCACAAGGUGGUCGUCCUGUCCAGUCCAGUUGUGAAACUGGUUCCAGUGUCCAGUGGGAAAGUUGGGGAAGGGGGUCUGCUGGGGGCCCCAGCUGCUGUUUGAUGAAUGAACAGACACGAGGGCCUCCAAGGAGGAAGCAAAUAAGGCGCAGGUGGCUGAGGCCUCACUGAGGUGCCCUGGCUGGAGUUUGGAGAAGUUGGGCGGGGCGCAGCACUCCCAGCUCCUGAUCAACACCUAGCCAAGGCCAAGGCCCCAUCUGGAGAAACCAGGACCGUGGGCAGGGAGGAGGCAGUGCGUGGUGCCUGAAGGUUCCACUCUCCAGCCUCUUAGGAAGCUUCUGAGCCUGCACAGACGCGGCCC
RNAcentral lists this long non-coding RNA (2270 nucleotides) under Homo sapiens (human). Its description in RNAcentral is "non-protein coding lnc-ANKMY1-3:1". Lineage: Eukaryota; Metazoa; Chordata; Mammalia; Primates; Hominidae. The record is from RNAcentral.